Molecule: ribosomal RNA, 259 nt
Filed under: uncultured bacterium
Lineage: Bacteria
Description: partial small subunit ribosomal RNA
Rfam family: Bacterial small subunit ribosomal RNA
Source: RNAcentral
AGGACGAACGCUGGCGGCGUGCUUAACACAUGCAAGUCGAGCGAGGCCCUUCCUUCGGGAAGGUGCCCUAGCGGCGAACGGGUGAGUAACACGUGGGCAAUCUGCCCCUAGCACUGGGAUAACUCCGGGAAACCGGGGCUAAUACCGGAUAUGACCUCUGAGGGCAUCCUCUGGAGGUGGAAAGGAUCCUGGCUAGGGAUGAGCCCGCGGCCUAUCAGCUUGUUGGUGGGGUAACAGCCUACCAAGGCGACGACGGGUA